UAGGGAAUCUUCCACAAUGGACGCAAGUCUGAUGGAGCAACGCCGCGUGAGUGAAGAAGGUUUUCGGAUCGUAAAGCUCUGUUGUUGGUGAAGAAGGAUAGAGGCAGUAACUGGUCUUUAUUUGACGGUAAUCAACCAGAAAGUCACGGCUAACUACGUGCCAGCAGCCGCGGUAAUACGUAGGUGGCAAGCGUUGUCCGGAUUUAUUGGGCGUAAAGCGAGCGCAGGCGGAAUGAUAAGUCUGAUGUGAAAGCCCACGGCUCAACCGUGGAACUGCAGCGGAAACUGUCAUUCUUGAGUGCAGAAGAGGAGAGUGGAAUUCCAUGUGUAGCGGUGUAAUGCGUAGAUAUAUGGAAGAACACCAGUGGCGAAGGCGGCUCUCUGGUCUGCAACUGACGCUGAGGCUCGAAAGCAUGGGUAGCGAACAGG
Molecule: ribosomal RNA, 429 nt
Filed under: Bacillota bacterium
Lineage: Bacteria; Bacillati; Bacillota
Description: Firmicutes bacterium partial 16S ribosomal RNA
Rfam family: Bacterial small subunit ribosomal RNA
Source: RNAcentral